UUUCUCCUUUGCUCGGCCUUAUUUUUGGUGUCUUAUGGUCCUGCAAGAAGGAGAAGAGAGAGAGAAUAGUGGAUAGAAGAUCAAAAGCAUUUUACCAUAAGUUUUUGUUGGAAGAUCCAUGAGCCCUGCUUGAUCCCUUGUUAUUCAACUUGGGCUUGGUCUGUGCCUCAGAUCAAGCCCUUUUCUCCCUUCUUUUCUACAUUCUUUCUCCCUCCCCCUUUCUUUCUUUCUCUUCUUUUUCUUUUUAUUAUUAUUAUUAUUAUUUUUUGGAUCGGCCUCAAUGAAGUUGACCUCAUCGUUGGGAACGAGCGUGUGAAGGCAUCAGCAAAAGGGGGCUCGACUGAAAGGGCGUGCGUAGAGAAGGAUCAGCCAUGCGGGAGCACACGGGGAAGGAUCGACCACACGAGGUCAUGUGGGGAAGGAUCAGCGACGCUCGUCGGCAACUUCAGCCACACAUAGAAGUGUGCAGAGAGGUUCGGUCAUGUGAGAGGUGUGCAUGGGCAUGCAAGGAAGCUUUGGACCCAUGCAUUUGGCGAAGUU
Molecule: long non-coding RNA, 540 nt
Filed under: Elaeis guineensis (African oil palm)
Lineage: Eukaryota; Viridiplantae; Streptophyta; Magnoliopsida; Arecales; Arecaceae
Description: long non-coding RNA (EGUI_LNC033772)
Source: RNAcentral